Brassica napus (rape) is the source of this 1080-nucleotide long non-coding RNA. RefSeq lists it as uncharacterized. The record is from RefSeq and is a predicted model, not a curated record. Lineage: Eukaryota; Viridiplantae; Streptophyta; Magnoliopsida; Brassicales; Brassicaceae. The transcript is spliced from 5 exons.
AAUCAAAGAUGAGGUGAUGCUGCUCUCAGAUAUAAACCAUGUGGAACAUGGAUUAAGUUUGGUGAUAUGAUAUUCUGAUUUCAAGGUUAUUUCCAAUUCAAAAUCACACCAUUUUAAUCUUCUAGGGUUUGUUAGAACAUCCACUUAGUGUUUACAAAUAAAUCGUAACAAUUUAAAAGUAUGAUUAUAGGAAAGGUUGCAUUUGCUGGUUUGAUUUGCGAUGUAAAGAUGUCUAAUUCACCGUGACGUUGGAAAAAAUCAAUUGUAUCUCUUUGUUAUGAGAAAGGUAAUGCAUCUUAUGGCAAUGAACGAGCCAACUAGAUUUACAAAAUGGUAGAGGAUCAGAAGUCAAGCAGUAAUACUUGAAACCAGACAAUCGGUUGUAAAGGGAACCAUCUACGCCAGAGAUUUAUGGUGAGUUUUCAAACAAGUGCUUUUUGGCUUCUUUUUGUGGUUUUAGCUUUCCUGGUUGGUAAACAGUUGAAAGUGGCUCAAGAAUCUUUGCAGAAGUUAAAAGAGUUCGAUAUAAGGAUGAAUCACAUAUCGAUUGCAGCAGCAGUUAUAUACAUAACAACACAGCUCUCUGAUGAAAAGAAGCCUCUUCGAGGAUCAAACCUGUAGAUGGAAAGACUGUCACCAAGACUAUGAGUCCAUGAGAUUGGAGGGUAAAACACGUUCCCAGCAGCAAGUGGAUAAACAGAUUUAGUAUUCGCAAACUUUUUCUCAGAAGGAGUGGCACUUUCAUACGUUUGGUUCUUUCUAUGUCAAUCUCUGGUAUUAUUAAUUUAAAUUUGAAAGUAAAAGGCCAAAACCAAUUUAAAUUCCUACAUUACUGGAUUAAUUAAAUAAAAUAGGCAUUUUUACUAUACAUAAAUUAGAUUAGAUAUGUAAAAUAAUUUUAUAAAUUUAAAAUGAUGUAGUUUCUAAAAUUUAAAAUAUAAUUAAAUAAAAUUGAAAAUGUAAUGUAUGCAAACAAUAAAAGUAUAAUUUAAUAUAUUUUGAGUAAUUUUUUUAUAUUUGAUUAUUUAUUGUACCACAAUUUUGCACGAGUAUAUAGAUAUAUACAUUAAAAAUACUUAC